ACCAAUGGAGGACUAAAUUUGUAGACCAAAUUAGUAUGAAUCUUUGUUUAGUUAGCUGGACCAAAAAUGUAAAGCAAGCUAAUUUGUGGACCAAACCAGUAUGAAUCUUUCUUGCAUCAUGACUAUGAAAAUUUGAUUAUUUUGAAACUGGUGUUAAUAUGCCAAAUUUAGAUGGAAAUUACAUCAUGCUAUAUCUCACCAUUAAUUACGAAUACUAACAUCUUGUCAGGAAAAUGUUUUUCAUUAAGCAGACUGGUUUUCUUGGCCUUUCGGGGAAGAGCGCAGACACAAUUGAUUUUUAUAUGUCUGAGAUCGAGAAACUAUCAAAAGAAAUCUCAAAAUCAACCAGCGAAGAUGUUAGAUGUUGAGCAUCCUGCUGCAAAGGUGGGAGAAUAAAGCAUCUAUUUGGCUGAGCUUCAAGACCGAGAAGUUGGAAAUGGGACAACUUCUGUGGUUAAUAUAUCAGUCAAGUGAUCUAGCAGAUAAUGAUGUAUGGAAAGAUAAAGGCACUGGUCAGCUUUCUAUCAAAUGUAAAGAGGGUGUUAACAACGGCACAAGAGAAUUCAAGCCAACAAUUCUUGUUCGAAAUGAUGUAUGUUUCUUCUAACUGUUUUUGCUUCUCGAAGUUGAGUUCAGUUUGAAAUCUUAAGUUUGUAAUGCAUCUCUGAUAUUCUUUAGUUCUUUUUAGUGCAGUACCUUACCUUUCUAUGUAUAAAUCUAUGAAGGUGCAAUCAACUCCUAACUUUGUUUAAUUGUUUGUUGAUUUUUUGAGUAUUGAUUAAAUUUAUCUAGGGGAUACAGAUAGUUGUUAAUGGAUCUAUAGAACAUGAGUUUCAUAUGAUAUUGAUAUGCCUUUAUUACAGAGAA
This is a non-coding RNA of Camellia sinensis, 867 nucleotides long. Lineage: Eukaryota; Viridiplantae; Streptophyta; Magnoliopsida; Ericales; Theaceae. The record is from RefSeq and is a predicted model, not a curated record.